AAUCCAUAGGUUAAUGAGGCGAACCGGGGGAACUGAAACAUCUAAGUACCCCGAGGAAAAGAAAUCAACCGAGAUUCCCCCAGUAGCGGCGAGCGAACGGGGAGGAGCCCAGAGCCUGAAUCAGCAUGUGUGUUAGUGGAAGCGUCUGGAAAGGCGCGCGAUACAGGGUGACAGCCCCGUACACAAAAGCGCAUGUGCUGUGAGCUCGAUGAGUAGGGCGGGACACGUGGUAUCCUGUCUGAAUAUGGGGGGACCAUCCUCCAAGGCUAAAUACUCCUGACUGACCGAUAGUGAACCAGUACCGUGAGGGAAAGGCGAAAAGAACCCCGGCGAGGGGAGUGAAAAAGAACCUGAAACCGUGUACGUACAAGCAGUGGGAGCACCCUUUGGGGUGUGACUGCGUACCUUUUGUAUAAUGGGUCAGCGACUUAUAUUCUGUAGCAAGGUUAACCGUAUAGGGGAGCCGGAGGGAAACCGAGUCUUAAUUGGGCGUUAAGUUGCAGGGUAUAGACCCGAAACCCGGUGAUCUAGCCAUGGGCAGGUUGAAGGUUGGGUAACACUAACUGGAGGACCGAACCGACUAAUGUUGAAAAAUUAGCGGAUGACCUGUGGCUGGGGGUGAAAGGCCAAUCAAACCGGGAGAUAGCUGGUUCUCCCCGAAAGCUAUUUAGGUAGCGCCUCGUGAAUUCAUCUCCGGGGGUAGAGCACUGUUUCGGCUAGGGGGCCAUCCCGGCUUACCAACCCGAUGCAAACUGCGAAUACCGGAGAAUGUUAUCACGGGAGACACACGGCGGGUGCUAACGUCCGUCGUGAAGAGGGAAACAACCCAGACCGCCAGCUAAGGUCCCAAAGUCAUGGUUAAGUGGGAAACGAUGUGGGAAGGCCCAGACAGCCAGGAUGUUGGCUUAGAAGCAGCCAUCAUUUAAAGAAAGCGUAAUAGCUCACUGGUCGAGUCGGCCUGCGCGGAAGAUGUAACGGGGCUAAACCAUGCACCGAAGCUGCGGCAGCGAACGUAUCACCCAAGACAACUUUACGGAGUUGACGAUUGACGGAGCGAAGCGACGUCAAAGCGUUCAUUAAAGUCGAG
RNAcentral lists this ribosomal RNA (1087 nucleotides) under Salmonella enterica subsp. enterica serovar Yovokome. Its description in RNAcentral is "partial 23S ribosomal RNA". It matches the Rfam family "Bacterial large subunit ribosomal RNA", at positions 161 to 1233 of the family's 2925-position model. Lineage: Bacteria; Pseudomonadati; Pseudomonadota; Gammaproteobacteria; Enterobacterales; Enterobacteriaceae. The record is from RNAcentral.